RNAcentral lists this long non-coding RNA (270 nucleotides) under Physcomitrium patens. RNAcentral describes it as "long non-coding RNA (PPAT_LNC012773)". Lineage: Eukaryota; Viridiplantae; Streptophyta; Bryopsida; Funariales; Funariaceae. The record is from RNAcentral.
UAUUGUUAGCUUCUACCAUAAGCUAUCCACACCUUGUCAUAUUACGUGAAGUCUUGCUUGAAAAUGUAUUGAGCACUUGGUUGUGAAAGGUAAAAAGAAAUUGCAACAAUAAGAUCAUAAUAAUUCUAAUAGAAUUUUAAAUAAACUCUAAUUAAACUAAAAUAAAAAUUCAAGAACCUUAAUCAAAUCCUAGACCGAAUCCUAAUCCUAAUCUUAAUAAAAUUCUAAUCCAAACCAAAUCCUAAACCAAACCAAGACCUAAUCCUAAUC